AACGGAGGGUGCAAGCGUUGUUCGGAAUCAUUGGGCGUAAAGGGCGCGUAGGUGGUCCUGCAAGUCCGGUGUGAAAGCCCGGGGCUCAACUCCGGAAUCGCAUCGGAAACUGCAGGACUUGAGUCCGGGAGAGGUCCGUGGAAUUCCUGGUGUAGGGGUGAAAUCCGUAGAUAUCAGGAGGAACACCAGCAGCGAAAGCGACGGACUGGACCGGAACUGACACUGAGGCGCGAAAGCACGGGUAGCGAACAGG
RNAcentral lists this unclassified non-coding RNA (253 nucleotides) under uncultured Bradymonadales bacterium. RNAcentral's name for it is "contains 16S-23S intergenic spacer region". It matches the Rfam family "Bacterial small subunit ribosomal RNA", at positions 524 to 776 of the family's 1533-position model. Lineage: Bacteria; Deltaproteobacteria; Bradymonadales. The record is from RNAcentral.